UAGAAUUCUGACGUGAAGCCUUCUGGUCCCAGGCUUUUCUUUUUUGGGACCAGAUGGCUUCACGUCAGAAUUCUA
Otolemur garnettii (small-eared galago) is the source of this 75-nucleotide non-coding RNA. NCBI's taxonomy places the organism in Eukaryota, Metazoa, Chordata, Mammalia, Primates, Galagidae. The record is from Rfam.